This 302-nucleotide ribosomal RNA is filed under the name uncultured bacterium. RNAcentral describes it as "partial 16S ribosomal RNA". It matches the Rfam family "Bacterial small subunit ribosomal RNA", at positions 508 to 807 of the family's 1533-position model. The record is from RNAcentral.
GCAGCAGCCACGGGAAUACAGAGGGUGCGAGCGUUAAUCGGAUUUACUGGGCGUAAAGCGUGCGUAGGCGGCUUUUUAAGUCGGAUGUGAAAUCCCUGAGCUUAACUUAGGAAUUGCAUUCGAUACUGGGAAGCUAGAGUAUGGGAGAGGAUGGUAGAAUUCCAGGUGUAGCGGUGAAAUGCGUAGAGAUCUGGAGGAAUACCGAUGGCGAAGGCAGCCAUCUGGCCUAAUACUGACGCUGAGGUACGAAAGCAUGGGGAGCAAACAGGAUUAGAUACCCCAGUAGUCCCUGUCUCUUAUAC